This 187-nucleotide non-coding RNA is filed under the name unidentified. RNAcentral also lists the same sequence under 1 other name. The record is from RNAcentral.
GGUUAAAGCCUUAUGGUCGCUACCAUUGCACUCCGGUAGCGUUAAAAGGGAAGACGGGUGAGAAUCCCGCGCAGCCCCCGCUACUGUGAGGGAGGACGAAGCCCUAGUAAGCCACUGCCGAAAGGUGGGAAGGCAGGGUGGAGGAUGAGUCCCGAGCCAGGAGACCUGCCAUAAGGUUUUAGAAGUU